GACGAACGCUGGCGGCGUGCUUAACACAUGCAAGUCGAACGGAAAGGCCCUGCUUUUGUGGGGUGCUCGAGUGGCGAACGGGUGAGUAACACGUGAGUAACCUGCCCUUGACUUUGGGAUAACUUCAGGAAACUGGGGCUAAUACCGGAUAGGAGCUCCUGCUGCAUGGUGGGGGUUGGAAAGUUUCGGCGGUUGGGGAUGGACUCGCGGCUUAUCAGCUUGUUGGUGGGGUAGUGGCUUACCAAGGCUUUGACGGGUAGCCGGCCUGAGAGGGUGACCGGCCACAUCGGGACUGAGAUACGGACCAGACUCCUACGGGAGGCAGCAGUGGGGAAGAUGGCACAAGGGGCGGAAGCCGGAGGCAGCAACGCCGCGUGUGGGAGGACGGCCUUCGGGUUGUAAACCGCUUUCGCCUGUGACGAAGCGUGAGUGACGGUAAUGGGUAAAGAAGCACCGGCUAACUACGUG
RNAcentral lists this ribosomal RNA (468 nucleotides) under uncultured bacterium. RNAcentral describes it as "partial 16S ribosomal RNA". It matches the Rfam family "Bacterial small subunit ribosomal RNA", at positions 28 to 507 of the family's 1533-position model. The record is from RNAcentral.